Long non-coding RNA from Lagenorhynchus albirostris (white-beaked dolphin), 475 nucleotides. RefSeq lists it as uncharacterized. Lineage: Eukaryota; Metazoa; Chordata; Mammalia; Artiodactyla; Delphinidae. The record is from RefSeq and is a predicted model, not a curated record. The transcript is spliced from 3 exons.
UGAUAGUGAAGAACUUCUGAGUACAAAGUAUUUUAGAGAAAAUUGAUACAACUUUGAAAGCUACUCAGUGAUAAAACAGCUCUUUGCAACACACUGGAAAGAAAGUAGAGAUGACAGAGAAAGAAAUUGCUCUUAAGGAGCUUACAUUCCAGUAAUGCAUGCACAGAAUGAAAUAAGUUCCAUAACAGAAGUAUGCACAAUGGAUGUGUCUUGAGAAUACAGAAUAGGAAGUUGGCUAUCAUCAAAUGGAGGGCAUUGAAGGCUGAGAAAAUAAUCAUUUUAUAUGUGAGUGUGUUUGUCUUAAAGUUGAUGAUGAAACCUGAAACAGAAGUGAAGUUGCCUAAGACUGACCAUUCCAAGAGGCAAUUAAUGAGAUACUGUUCUCAGACCCAGUGAUGAUGCUUCUAGAGAACCAUUUGGAGAGUUUUUCACGUGUUCCAUGCAAGGACUGGCAUCUGAUUCACAACUACAAAAU